This 443-nucleotide ribosomal RNA is filed under the name uncultured bacterium. RNAcentral's name for it is "partial 16S ribosomal RNA". It matches the Rfam family "Bacterial small subunit ribosomal RNA", at positions 338 to 795 of the family's 1533-position model. The record is from RNAcentral.
CCUACGGGAGGCAGCAGUGGGGAAUAUUGCACAAUGGGCGAAAGCCUGAUGCAGCAACGCCGCGUGAAUGAAGAAGGGUUUCGGCUCGUAAACUUCUAUCAACAGGGACGAAAGAAAUUACGGUACCUGAAUAAGAAGCCCCUGCUAAAUACGUGCCAGCAGCCGCGGUAAUACGGAGGGGGCAAGCGUUAUCCGGAAUUACUGGGUGUAAAAGGUGAGUAGGCGGGAUGGUAAGCCAGAUGUGAAAGGCUUGGGCUUAACACGAGGAGUGCAUUUGGAAUUAUCAAGCUAGAGUGCAGGAGAGGAAAGCGGAAUUCCAAGUGUAGCGGUGAAAUGCGUAGAUAUUAGGAAGAACACCAGUGGCGAAGGCGGCUUUCUGGACUGAAACUGACGCUGAGGCACGAAAGCGUGGGGAGCGAACAGGAUUAGAUACCCUUGUAGUC